RNAcentral lists this ribosomal RNA (271 nucleotides) under uncultured bacterium. RNAcentral's name for it is "partial 16S ribosomal RNA". It matches the Rfam family "Bacterial small subunit ribosomal RNA", at positions 524 to 794 of the family's 1533-position model. The record is from RNAcentral.
GACGGAGGAUGCAAACGUUGCUCGGAAUUACUGGGCGUAAAGCGCGUGUAGGCGGUCUGAUAAGUCGGACGUGAAAGCCCUGGGCUCAACCUGGGAACUGCAUCCAAAACUACUGAGCUAGAGUACGGUAGAGGGUAGUGGAAUUCCCUGUGUAGCGGUGAAAUGCGUAGAUAUAGGAAGGAACACCAGUGGCGAAGGCGACUACCUGGACUGAUACUGACACUGAGGUGCGAAAGCGUGGGGAGCAAACAGGAUUAGAAACCCGUGUAGU